UAACAUGGGAGUUGGGAAAUCUCCUGUCAAGCCUAUUAUUAAUCUACUUUUGUUAUGUGCCAUCAAGUCAGAAUUGACUUGCAGCCACCCUUGAGAGUUUUCAGAUCCAUGAUCUUGGAUGCACCACAUGGGAGGAAAUACGACAGAAGGAAUGGCAAAAGCAGUUUCUGCACAUGAGCCAUUGCUUGAGGAUAAUUUCUGGGAAUUAUGCCAUUGAGCCAUGUCAACUGGCUUUGUGAAUCAUCUUGGCUGUUUCCUUCCUGCAGUUCUCCUUGGAUAUCUUCUGUUGCACAUAAACAUGGCUACAGUAAAAAUAUACAAAUUUGAACCAAUAGCUUUAGUGUCUUCUGUUCCUGAAGUAUCUUCAGUGUCUUCUGUUCAGUCAGUGUUCAAAGGUCACGUAAUUACCAUCAGUUGGCAUACUUCAAGGACACUCAAAACAAUGUCACAAAAAUAUUUGUGUUGACAGUGAACAUUGCCAAAAACAGUCCACACAAUGUUUAUCUCUGAGCACCACACAAGGUUGAGUUUCAGAAGACAUAUGCCAACUAUCUUUUUAUUUUUAUUUUUAUUCUUUGUCUACUUAGUAUACAAAGCACAGGGGCUGACUAGUUUGUUUCUUUGAAGUUGCUUUCUUCCAAAUAUAUUGCAAAUGUAAACUACUUUUUAGUUAUGCUUGUUAGCUGUGCAGUGU
This is a non-coding RNA of Pogona vitticeps (central bearded dragon), 694 nucleotides long. NCBI's taxonomy places the organism in Eukaryota, Metazoa, Chordata, Lepidosauria, Squamata, Agamidae. The record is from RefSeq and is a predicted model, not a curated record.